Molecule: ribosomal RNA, 876 nt
Filed under: Chondrina avenacea avenacea
Lineage: Eukaryota; Metazoa; Mollusca; Gastropoda; Stylommatophora; Chondrinidae
Description: partial large subunit ribosomal RNA
Rfam family: Archaeal large subunit ribosomal RNA (bases 353-601)
Source: RNAcentral
UAAACAAUAAUUAUUUUGUAUAAAAAUACCCGAAAUAAAAAGAUCAAAAAAGUUAUACUGUAUAGUGACUAAAAUUAAACGUAUAGCAUAAUGUAAUUUAAAUAACUUUUUAGAGGAGAAAUUCCAACAGUUUUUAUGAUAGCUGGAUUAAAGAGAAAAGUAUUGAGUACUAAAGACAACUAUAAAGUGAUAAGAUUUUAUAAUUUAAAUAAGGUUUAUUUUAGUAGCCCCAGGGCUAAUCCCCUAAAAGCUUGUUACUAAUAACAUUUUUUAAGUGUACCUUUUUAUUACUAACUUUAAACUUUGAAUAAUUAGUAGGGCUUAGUUUAUAAUGUUUAAAUUAGUAUUAAUAUCUAUAAUUUUUAUUAAGGAACUCGGCAAAUUUUUAUAUUCGACUGUUUAACAAAAACAUAGUCCGUUGUUAUUUAUAGCGGGUAUUGACUGCCCGGUGAUUUUUAUUUUAACGGCCGCAGUACCUUGACUGUGCGAAGGUAGCAUAAUAAUUUGGCCUUUAAAUGGGGUCUAGGAUGAAAGGACGUACGAAUAGCAACUGUCUCCAACUUAACUAAUAAAAACUUACUUAAAAGGUGCAAAUACCUUUAUAUUUAUAUAAUAGACGAGAAGACCCUUAGAAUUUAAUUUAAAAUAAAAACAUAUUUAUUUCAAUUUUGUUGGGGCAACAGAGCAGCAGCUACCUAAAUCUGCUUGUUAAUUAUAAAAUAGGCCGACUAUUAGUAUGAACAUAUAAAUUACCUUAGGGAUAACAGCAUAAUUUAAUAAAGAUUGUGACCUCGAUGUUGGAUUAGGGCCAUAAUAAUUUAACCAACUAUUAUGUUAGUUCUGUUCGAACUUUGUAACCUACAUGAUCUGAGUUCA